AUUGAACGCUGGCGGCAGGCCUAACACAUGAAAGUCGAGCGGAGCGGCGGAAGGGUGAGUAAGGCCUAGUAAUCUGCCUGGUAGUGGGGGAUAACGUCCAGAAACGGGCGCUAAUACCAACAACUAACAGAUGAGCCUAGGUCUGAUUAGCUAAUUUGUGGGGUAAAGGCCUACCAAGGCGACGAUCCGAAACUGUUCUGAGAGGAUGAUCAGCCACACUGGAACUGAGACACGGUCCAGAUUCCUACGGGAGGCAGCAUUGGGGAAUCUUGGACAAUGUGCGAAAGCCUGAUCCAGCCAUGCCGCUUGUGUUAAGAAGGUCUUCGGAUUGUAAAGCACUUUAAGUUGGGAGGCGUUACCAACAGAAUAAGCACCGGCUAACUUCGUGCCAGCAGCCGCGGUAAUAC
Molecule: ribosomal RNA, 407 nt
Filed under: uncultured bacterium
Lineage: Bacteria
Description: partial 16S ribosomal RNA
Rfam family: Bacterial small subunit ribosomal RNA
Source: RNAcentral